Molecule: non-coding RNA, 71 nt
Organism: Tritrichomonas musculus
Lineage: Eukaryota; Parabasalia; Tritrichomonadida; Tritrichomonadidae
Source: the annotation of a GenBank genome assembly
GCGAGACUGUUGUAUUGGUAGCAUAUGGUCCCUCCGUGUCCAAAAACUGGGUUCGAUUCCCAGGUUUCGCA